UAGCCAGCAUUGACCUGAUCCUUGUAGAAGCCUAGCUUCAAUGGACUCUGUCCCAAUGCUCAUCCUAGACUCUCCAAUAGAUAAAAAUAAACUCCCUAAGAGCUUUAUCCUUAUCCAGGCAGAGGUGCUCCCGCUUUCUAGGACUCUCGUCCCUUAUCCGCUCAUCCCGGAUUCCGGUAUCUUCGCAGAUAAUCUCGGCCUAGCCGAGAUUACCUCGGCGUCAUGACCUGGACACGUGGCACCUCGGCUGGCACUUCGGUGCCACCUUGGCCGCGUGUUGUCAUUCAAAAAAUAUGUUCCCACAAUAUCAAAAAAAAAAUAUCUCAACAUCCUCGAUAAAUUCUGACAGCCAGAAUAGAGUAUCUGACAUUAAUUAAACAUCAUAUCUCAGCAUCAUCCUAAAGUUCUAAUAUAGUUAUGUUAUGUGCAUAACAAUCCUGUUUUUUGAUGAGCAAAUUAAGUAAACCAUGAUUGUGUAGGCAAGAUCUCUUUAUCUCUUGGAUUGACAGGCCUAUGAGAAGCACAAACACUUCUAAGAAGGCACCGUAUUCAUGUUCAUGUCCAUGUCCGACACUUGGUCUCUAAAUAUCAAAUGCAAUGACUGUUGCUGCUAUAAAGAGUUCUUACUAUUGAAGAAACCUAAAAAGCAUCGCUAAUCUCCAUGCUCCCUCCAACAAAGUAGCAUGCUGACACAUUGGCGGAUUAUGUACAACCUUACCCUUUUCUCUUUGAGAGUUCUUCUCCCAGGAUUUAUUACCAAAAGGACAAGGGGGUCACAGAACCGUUUGCAUUUCUGAUAAUCUGUUUUCAAACUGAAUUCACACCUGAUCUUGCCAAGGCAAUGUGGUCCACCUUGUUUGCAUCAUUGUCAUUGGUUCAGAAAUUUUGGUGAAUGUGUCCAAAAAGAGCACCAACUCAACACAUUGACAUGUAGUCAUGGCAUGAUAGAGCCGGAUGAGUGGAAUUGAUUUGUCCCACUAUGGUCAGUUGUGUGGGAAAUACGGUUGGUUCCAACCAUCUCCAUUUGCACUGUCUCAUUAGUCAAGAGCAAAACAUGCACAUCCCAUACUGAUGCUUUGGAAAUAAUUUUGUCCACAAGGCUGUGCAAGGCAAACUCCUGAUCCUAUUUAUUCCUUGGAGCAACUCUAGUGAGCUGUUAUAAUGGCUGCUAUUUUCGUAUCAAAUUUGACACAAAGUUUGAAUGCCAUUUGUGCCAACUCAAUUCACCCAAGAGAGAGCUUUAAUUAAGUGGUUUAGAUGUGAGAUGCUUAAGUCUAAUAGUUGAGAUGCUUAAGUCUAAUAUUUAGAAAUAAACAAUGAUCUGAAUGUGCGGAAGUGGUACUUGUACCCGUGGAAUUACAUUACGAUAUUGUAAGAUGUUAAAUUAUAAGAAAAUUCUAUACUACGUACUUUCAAAAUGU
Molecule: long non-coding RNA, 1421 nt
Organism: Camellia sinensis
Lineage: Eukaryota; Viridiplantae; Streptophyta; Magnoliopsida; Ericales; Theaceae
Source: RefSeq, a predicted model, not a curated record